RNAcentral lists this ribosomal RNA (115 nucleotides) under Coriobacteriales bacterium. Lineage: Bacteria; Bacillati; Actinomycetota; Coriobacteriia; Coriobacteriales. The record is from RNAcentral.
GUGCGGGUCCCUAGAGUAGGGGGUACACCUGUUCCCAUUCCGAACACAGUAGUUAAGCCCUACAUCGUCGAAAGUACUGCGGCGUAGGCCGUGGGAGGAUAGAACGACCUGCACA